GGGCUCGUGGUGAAAUGGCAUCACGCAACCUUCGCAAGGUUGAGGCUGCGGGUUCGACUCCCGCCGGGUCCA
Molecule: transfer RNA, 72 nt
Filed under: Candidatus Diapherotrites archaeon CG08_land_8_20_14_0_20_34_12
Lineage: Archaea; Nanobdellati; Candidatus Iainarchaeota
Description: tRNA-Ala
Rfam family: tRNA
About the family: Transfer RNA (tRNA) molecules are approximately 80 nucleotides in length. Their secondary structure includes four short double-helical elements and three loops (D, anti-codon, and T loops).
Source: RNAcentral